RNAcentral lists this small nucleolar RNA (84 nucleotides) under Capsicum annuum. RNAcentral describes it as "Small nucleolar RNA SNORD25". It matches the Rfam family "Small nucleolar RNA SNORD25". Rfam says of the family: U25 is a member of the C/D class of snoRNA which contain the C (UGAUGA) and D (CUGA) box motifs. U25 is found in gene clusters in plants, and within the U22 snoRNA host gene (UHG) in mammals. Lineage: Eukaryota; Viridiplantae; Streptophyta; Magnoliopsida; Solanales; Solanaceae. The record is from Rfam by way of RNAcentral.
AGAACAUUGAUGAGCUCUAUAGACCUGUAAUGAUUUGUGAAAAUGAUCGUAACUCUUAACAAACAUCUAAGGGACUGAGUUAAA